UACGUAGGGUGCGAGCGUUAAUCGGAAUUACUGGGCGUAAAGCGUGCGCAGGCGGUUUUGUAAGACAGGCGUGAAAUCCCCGGGCUCAACCUGGGAACUGCGCUUGUGACUGCAAGGCUAGAGUACGGCAGAGGGGGGUGGAAUUCCACGUGUAGCAGUGAAAUGCGUAGAGAUGUGGAGGAACACCAAUGGCGAAGGCAGCCCCCUGGGUCGAUACUGACGCUCAUGCACGAAAGCGUGGGUAGCAAACAGG
RNAcentral lists this ribosomal RNA (253 nucleotides) under uncultured bacterium. Its description in RNAcentral is "partial 16S ribosomal RNA". It matches the Rfam family "Bacterial small subunit ribosomal RNA", at positions 524 to 776 of the family's 1533-position model. The record is from RNAcentral. RNAcentral also lists the same sequence under 2 other names.